This is a long non-coding RNA of Scatophagus argus, 767 nucleotides long. RefSeq lists it as uncharacterized. NCBI's taxonomy places the organism in Eukaryota, Metazoa, Chordata, Actinopteri, Scatophagidae. The transcript has 4 exons. The record is from RefSeq and is a predicted model, not a curated record.
AUACUCAUGAAAUCUUCUCAGACUUACUAUGAAAAGACUGGCUUUCAUACCAGCACAGACGUACAAGAGUCAUCACAUUUUGGCAGUGGUGUUGCACUGUGUUGCUGCAUCGCGGCCAAUCAAGUGGAAAAAGAGGGUCCUGACAUGGAAAUAAAGUGCAGCACAUCUCCACUUAUCUUUCUGCUCUCAAAGCCAGUGAAGUAAUACUUGUAUCCCACUCAUGUGAAGACAAAAUAUAGACAUGAAGAAAUAUUGUGCACUGGUCAGUGAUUUAGUGAUGUGCUGCAGCAUACCAAAUACCAAUUCAGGCAAUCAGUCACUUUCCUGUGUAUUUUUUCCCGAACUUUUCCUCAACCAAAGUAAAAAUGUCAUUCAGCAUGAAUGAUGGCAGCUUCUUUAUUCAUGGACAUUUUAUGAGUGUCUUCAUUAGGCCAUUAAGAAUGCCAAUUCUUUAAUGGCAUCGCCAUUCAGUGGGGUUUUCUGUUGCUGGGUAUUCUAGGUGGCGUGUGUUUGCUAAAACGCUGUGAAACGUUCAAUUAAAUUGACUUAUGUGGGUAGUUGGGACAUGGGGUCACAAAAGUGUCCCUAUAAGUAGUUGGCCACUGACUUUGCAGUGCUGCACAAUGGGUUAGCAUACCGAAAUGGACAAGGAAAUUGUCGUGCACCACCACCCACAAAUGUGAGGGCAUUUGUCAGUCCUGUCCAUUCCAGGUGAGGUUUUCACUGCAGGUGAUUUCAGCCCCUCAAGUUUCAGUCUCAAACAUGUA